RNAcentral lists this ribosomal RNA (432 nucleotides) under uncultured bacterium. RNAcentral describes it as "partial 16S ribosomal RNA". It matches the Rfam family "Bacterial small subunit ribosomal RNA", at positions 338 to 795 of the family's 1533-position model. The record is from RNAcentral.
CCUACGGGGGGCAGCAGUGGGGAAUAUUGGACAAUGGGGGCAACCCUGAUCCAGCAAUGCCGCGUGAGUGAUGAAGGCCUUCGGGUUGUAAAGCUCUUUCGGCGGGGAGGCGGUACCCGCAGAAGAAGCCCCGGCUAACUUCGUGCCAGCAGCCGCGGUAAUACGAAGGGGGCAAGCGUUGUUCGGAAUUACUGGGCGUAAAGGGCGCGCAGGCGGCAUACGUAGUCAGGCGUGAAAGCCCCGGGCUUAACCUGGGAAUUGCGUUUGAUACUCGUAAGCUAGAGUUCGGGAGAGGAUGGUGGAAUUCCCAGUGUAGAGGUGAAAUUCGUAGAUAUUGGGAAGAACACCGGUGGCGAAGGCGGCCAUCUGGACCGAACUGACGCUGAGGCGCGAAAGCGUGGGGAGCAAACAGGAUUAGAUACCCUUGUAGUC